CUUAACUGACGCUAAAGCUCGAAGGUGCGGGUAUCGAACAGGAUUAGAUACCCUGGUAGUCCGCACGGUAAACGAUGGAUGCCCGCUGUCGGCGACAGACUGUCGGCGGCCAAGCGAAAGCGUUAAGCAUCCCACCUGGGGAGUACGCCGGCAACGGUGAAACUCAAAGGAAUUGACGGGGGCCCGCACAAGCGGAGGAACAUGUGGUUUAAUUCGAUGAUACGCGAGGAACCUUACCCGGGCUUGAACUGCAGGAGAACGAUCCAGAGAUGGUGAGGCCCUUCGGGGCUCCUGUGGAGGUGCUGCAUGGUUGUCGUCAGCUCGUGCCGUGAGGUGUCGGCUUAAGUGCCAUAACGAGCGCAACCCCUUUCGCCAGUUGCCAUCAGGUGAUGCUGGGCACUCCGGCGACACUGCCACCGUAAGGUGUGAGGAAGGUGGGGAUGACGUCAAAUCAGCACGGCCCUUACGUCCGGGGCUACACACGUGUUACAAUGGGUGGUACAGAGAGUCAGCGGCCGGCAACGUCCGCUCAAUCAAGAAAGCCAUCCUCAGUUCGGAUUGGGGUCUGCAACCCGACCCCAUGAAGCUGGAUUCGCUAGUA
RNAcentral lists this ribosomal RNA (601 nucleotides) under uncultured bacterium. Its description in RNAcentral is "bacterial SSU rRNA". It matches the Rfam family "Bacterial small subunit ribosomal RNA", at positions 735 to 1340 of the family's 1533-position model. The record is from RNAcentral.